AACGAACGCUGGCGGCAGGCCUAACACAUGCAAGUCGAACGCUGUAGCAAUACAGAGUGGCAGACGGGUGAGUAACGCGUGGGAACAUACCCUUUGGUUCGGAAUAACUCAGGGAAACUUGAGCUAAUACCGGAUAAGUGCGAAAGCAGAAAGAUUCAUCGCCGAAGGAUUGGCCCGCGUUCGAUUAGCUUGUUGGUGAGGUAACGGCUCACCAAGGCGACGAUCGANAGCUGGUCUGAGAGGAUGAUCAGCCACAUUGGGACUGAGACACGGCCCAAACUCCUACGGGAGGCAGCAGUGGGGAAUAUUGGACAAUGGGCGAAAGCCUGAUCCAGCCAUGCCGCGUGAGUGAUGAAGGCCCUAGGGUUGUAAAGCUCUUUCGUCAGGGACGAUAAUGGCGGUACCUGAAGAAGAAGCCCCGGNUAACUUCGUGCCAGCCGCCGCUGUAAC
Molecule: ribosomal RNA, 450 nt
Filed under: uncultured bacterium
Lineage: Bacteria
Description: bacterial SSU rRNA
Rfam family: Bacterial small subunit ribosomal RNA
Source: RNAcentral